AUGCUGCCUGGCCAUGGCUACGACACACGGUGCACAUUCGACGCUGUGGUGCUGGAGGCUCAGCAGUGCCUUGCCGAAUGUGAAACUGUGAGCAACAGAUGUGAGAAGCUGGUGAGGGGCUUGGGCAGCAUGGGCGGCACAGGCACAAUCUUAUAUAUGGGAGCCAAGCUUGGGAGGCAACUUAGAGACAUGGUCCCCGACCAAGAGCAGCGUUGGAAGGUGUUGGCCGACUUUUGGGCAGAGUUCAUACUCUUCCUGGCGCCAUCUGACAAUACAGAGAUCCAUGGGGAGAAGCUGUCCGCUGGCGGUGAGUUCAUGACACAUCUCUGGGCGCUUCUCACUCAUGCCGGCAUUCUGGAGCGGCCCUCUUCCUCCUCUGGGAUUGACCCUCUGCCCUCUGGGAGGGAUUAA
Molecule: ribosomal RNA, 411 nt
Filed under: Triticum aestivum (bread wheat)
Lineage: Eukaryota; Viridiplantae; Streptophyta; Magnoliopsida; Poales; Poaceae
Description: partial small subunit ribosomal RNA
Source: RNAcentral